GAACCAGCGGACGGAUCCUUA
RNAcentral lists this ribosomal RNA (21 nucleotides) under Fusarium dimerum. RNAcentral's name for it is "partial 18S ribosomal RNA". The record is from RNAcentral. Lineage: Eukaryota; Fungi; Ascomycota; Sordariomycetes; Hypocreales; Nectriaceae.